UACGGGGGGGGCAAGCGUUGUUCGGAAUUACUGGGCGUAAAGGGUUCGUAGGUGGCCAACUAAGUCAGACGUGAAAUCCCUCAGCUUAACUGGGGAACUGCGUCUGAUACUGGAUGGCUUGAGUUUGGGAGAGGGAUGCGGAAUUCCAGGUGUAGCGGUGAAAUGCGUAGAUAUCUGGAGGAACACCGGUGGCGAGGGCGGCAUCCUGGACCAACACUGACGCUGAGUGAGCGAAAGCCAGGGGAGCAAACGGG
Molecule: ribosomal RNA, 254 nt
Filed under: uncultured bacterium
Lineage: Bacteria
Description: partial 16S ribosomal RNA
Rfam family: Bacterial small subunit ribosomal RNA
Source: RNAcentral